This 452-nucleotide ribosomal RNA is filed under the name uncultured Rhodospirillaceae bacterium. RNAcentral's name for it is "bacterial SSU rRNA". It matches the Rfam family "Bacterial small subunit ribosomal RNA", at positions 8 to 507 of the family's 1533-position model. Lineage: Bacteria; Pseudomonadati; Pseudomonadota; Alphaproteobacteria; Rhodospirillales; Rhodospirillaceae. The record is from RNAcentral.
AGAGUUUGAUCCUGCUCAGAACGAACGCUGGCGGCAUGCCUAACACAUGCAAGUCGAACGAUGGCUUCGGCCAUAGUGGCGCACGGGUGAGUAGCGCGUGGGAACCUGCCCUGAGGUACGGAAUAACAGCGGGAAACUGCUGCUAAUACCGUAUGUCCCCUGAGGGGGAAAGAUUUAUCGCCUUAGGAGGGGCCCGCGUCCGAUUAGCUAGUUGGUGAGGUAACGGCUCACCAAGGCUUCGAUCGGUAGCUGGUCUGAGAGGAUGAUCAGCCACACUGGGACUGAGACACGGCCCAGACUCCUACGGGAGGCAGCAGUGGGGAAUAUUGGACAAUGGGGGCAACCCUGAUCCAGCAAUGCCGCGUGGGUGGUGAAGGCCUUCGGGUUGUAAAGCCCUUUCGGCGGGGACGAUGAUGACGGUACCCGCAGAAGAAGCCCCGGCUAACUUCGUG